AGACAAAAAUGACUUAGGGGAAGGGGAGCUAAUUAACUGGGUCUGAGCCAAUGCCCCCAAAACAGACCUGAAGGGCCACUCAGACAAUGUCCUCUCCAAGACACUACAUGGGGUGGCAGGAACCACGUCAUGGCACAUGUGGGUGACUAUGCCUAGCAGGGGAGGCAUGGGGGUGAUCAGGAUGGGGUUGCCCACAGCUAGCUUCCUGCCAGGCUGCCACAUGGUUGAGAGUAGGAAGGGGACCAGAGAGGUGGCAGCAGGGGCAAACAGAAGGACAGAGAUUUAGGGCCCCUAGAAGGAAGUGGCCAGGACUAAGCCAUUCCAAGCCCAGGGACACCUCACUGCAUGUGCACUGGCCUUGCAGUCUGGUGGGUACACUCCUACACUCACCACCUCAUCCAGGAUCACUCACACCCUCAAAUUCCCUCCAAAUCCAAGAUGCUCAGUUCCCAACGGCCUACUGAGUCUGACCCCAGUGACCGCUUGGUCUCAGGACCGACAUGACCCAGACUACCAGCAAGAAAUGAUGUCCUAACACCUCCCAGUGCACCAACAUCUUUCAUAGCCACAAACUCCUUGACUCCACAGCCACCCCCCCUUCCUCCAGCUCCAAAUACUCUUUGUCUUGUUCCCUCCCCCAGACUCAUCUCCACCCCCUGCCACAGGGGGAAGCCCCAAGUCUCCAAGCCACCCCGACUCCAACCUGGGGCUUCCCCGGUGCAGCCUCCCCAUCAAGUACAAGGCCCUGGAGGGGUUUGGGGCUUGAGCCUGUUUCCCAGCAAGACCUGGUGUCCUUACUGAACAGUUCCCCAGAACAACCCUGCCCUGUGACCACUGGAGCCAGGGAAGAGGACAAGAGACAUCCCUGAAUCUCCUAACCAGGAAACUAGAGGAGGGAUGGUGGUCAGGAGCAGAAGAAAGGGCUGGAGGGACCACUUGGAACUGAGAACUGUGUGACCUCCAACAAGUAUCUUUCUUUCUCCGAAUCUUUAUAUUCUCAUCUGCAAAAGAGUUCAAGAGUAGGUAGAACUACCUCAUAUACACCUCCUCUCCUCUUCCUCCAAAGACCUCUUCAGCUCGAGUGGAUCGGAGGAACUCUGGCCCAACCCAACCCACUCAGCAACACCCUCCAAAAGGGAUCUUGGAAGAUCCAAGAGCCGAGUAGGGGGCGCCCAGGAGCACCCCUGCAGGCUAAAAGAUUCUCAGGCUCAGUUUCCCUCUCCCGGCCCAGGCUGGAGGACCCCGCAAAGCUUGCAUUCCUGUUCCAGCAGGGCAGGACCUGAACCACUCUCCAUCUGCAGAGACUCCAGUCCGCACAAAGCCAGAGCCCCCUCGCAUUCUGCUCCGUUUGCGAGGAUCAUGUCUCCACCUCUAGUAGCCAAAAGCGGGGGUGGGAGACGGGGACAAGAGCAGAAUUAUCAGGGAACACGCCCCGCUCCCCGUUCCGGGUCAGAGAAGUGGCCAAAAGUGUCCCCACAGGACUUCCCACCGGAAGGGGAAGUGCCACAUUCCCAGGCCUCCACCCAGUGGGGAGACUCGCAGCCUGACCCAGCUGGCAGAUCUCUCAAACCCACCGGCCCGACGCCCCCCGACGAGGAACCAGAGGCCAGAACAGACACCGGGUUUUGUCCACGCUCAAACCGGUUGCCCCGCGGGGUCUAGAACUGAGUUCAGAGGAAGGCGCCAAGCCUCAAACACAACGAGGUGGGGAGGCCACUCCGUUUUGGGCAGGAUCCUACUGUGGACACAGAACAGACAGCAGCUGCCCACAGUGUGGAAACAAACUGUAAAGCAGUCACGUCUCUUAAGGCUGCAGCAUCCAAUAAAAUGUAAUUUAAAUCAA
Molecule: long non-coding RNA, 1843 nt
Organism: Manis pentadactyla (Chinese pangolin)
Lineage: Eukaryota; Metazoa; Chordata; Mammalia; Pholidota; Manidae
Exons: 3
Source: RefSeq, a predicted model, not a curated record